GGCUCAGGAUGAACGCUGGCGGCGUGCCUAAUACAUGCAAGUCGAGCGAACGGACAGGAGUGCUUGCACUCCUUGAAGUUAGCGGCGGACGGGUGAGUAACACGUGGGUAACCUACCUAUAAGACUGGGAUAACUUCGGGAAACCGGAGCUAAUACCGGAUAAUAUAUACCUCCGCAUGGAGGAAUAGUCAAAGACGGUUCUGCUGUCACUUAUAGAUGGACCCGCGGUGUAUUAGCUAGUUGGUGAGGUAACGGCUCACCAAGGCAACGAUACAUAGCCGACCUGAGAGGGUGAUCGGCCACACUGGGACUGAGACACGGCCCAGACUCCUACGGGAGGCAGCAGUAGGGAAUCUUCCGCAAUGGACGAAAGUCUGACGGAGCAACGCCGCGUGAGUGAAGAAGGUUUUCGGAUCGUAAAACUCUGUUGUAAGGGAAGAACAAGUACGUUAGUAACUGAACGUACCUGAC
RNAcentral lists this ribosomal RNA (471 nucleotides) under Macrococcoides caseolyticum. RNAcentral's name for it is "bacterial SSU rRNA". It matches the Rfam family "Bacterial small subunit ribosomal RNA", at positions 21 to 483 of the family's 1533-position model. The record is from RNAcentral. Lineage: Bacteria; Bacillati; Bacillota; Bacilli; Caryophanales; Staphylococcaceae.